UGCCGCGUAGCCAAGCUGGGAAGGCGCUCGGCUUUGAUCCGAGAGAUCGUGGGUUCGAAUCCUACCGCGGCAA
Molecule: transfer RNA, 73 nt
Filed under: Myxococcales bacterium
Lineage: Bacteria; Pseudomonadati; Myxococcota; Myxococcia; Myxococcales
Description: tRNA-Gln
Rfam family: tRNA
About the family: Transfer RNA (tRNA) molecules are approximately 80 nucleotides in length. Their secondary structure includes four short double-helical elements and three loops (D, anti-codon, and T loops).
Source: RNAcentral